This 479-nucleotide ribosomal RNA is filed under the name uncultured bacterium. Its description in RNAcentral is "partial 16S ribosomal RNA". It matches the Rfam family "Bacterial small subunit ribosomal RNA", at positions 28 to 507 of the family's 1533-position model. The record is from RNAcentral.
GACGAACGCUGGCGGCGUGCCUAAUACAUGCAAGUCGAGCGAAGUUUUUCUGGUUCUUGCACUAGAAAAACUUAGCGGCGAACGGGUGAGUAACACGUAAAGAACCUGCCUCAUAGACUGGGACUACUAUUGGAAACGAUAGCUAAUACCGGAUAACAGUAUUUCUCGCAUGGGGGUUAUUUAAUAGUUGGUUAUGCUAACGGUUGGGGAUGGAUUUGCGGUUCAUUAGCUUGGUGGUGGGGUAAUGGCUUACCAAGGCGAUGACGGGUAGCCGGCCUGAGAGGGUGACCGGCCACAGUGGGACUGAGAUACGGCCCAGACUCCUACGGGAGGCAGCAGUGGGGAAUAUUGCACAAUGGGCGGAAGCCUGAUGCAGCAACGCCGCGUGCGGGAUGACGGCCUUCGGGUUGUAAACCGCUUUCGCCUGUGACGAAGCGUGAGUGACGGUAAUGGGUAAAGAAGCACCGGCUAACUACGUG